GUGCUUGCUUGGCAGCACAUAUACUAAAAUUAGAAUGAUACAGAGAAAAUUAACAUGAGCCCUGUGCAAGGAUGACAUGCAAAUUCGUGAAACAUUCUAUAUUUAA
Small nuclear RNA from Trichosurus vulpecula (common brushtail), 106 nucleotides. The record is from RefSeq and is a predicted model, not a curated record. Lineage: Eukaryota; Metazoa; Chordata; Mammalia; Diprotodontia; Phalangeridae.